UAGUGCACCUGUACUCAUUCUGCCAGACCACAAUAAACAGUUUAUAGUUGAAGUAGAUGCGUCAGAUACAGGUGUGGGGGCUGUUUAUCUCAAGUUUCUGGUUCUGAUAACAAGACUCACCCAUGUGCCUUUUUUUCUCGUAGACUGUCCUCACCGGAGCAAAACUAUGAUGUGGGCGAUCGAGAAAAUUGACCCUGGUGGAGUGGCAGCACUGGUUGGAGGGUGCUGCACAUCCCUUGGUGGUGUGGACAGAUCAUAAAAAUCUUGCUUAUCUCAAAUCUGCUAAAAAACUCAAUCCCCAUCAGUCCCGCUGGUCACUAUUCUUUUCCAGAUCCAAUCUUGCCAUCUCUUUUCGCCCCGGUUCCCGUAAUGUUAAACCUGAUGCAUUGUCCCGCAUCCACUCUCCAGAUGAGGAGGAUAAGGCUCCUGCCACGAUUCUACCUCCCAGUUGCACUGUAGCUGCGGUCACAUGGGAGAUAGAGGACCUGAUCAAACAAGCGCAACAAUCCAAACCGACCCCUGAUUCCUGUCCACAAGAUAAGAUCUAUGUUCCCUCAACAGUCCGAGCCCGGUUUAUACACUAGAUUCAUUCAUCCAAGUUUUCUGCGCACCCUGGCAUAAGUCACUCUAUCGCUCUCAUAAAUCAUAGAUUUUGGUGGCCAUUCAUUCACAAGGAUGUAAAAGAAUGUGUUUUAGCUUGCUUGGUCUGUUCUAGAAAUAAGCCAUCCCACCCACCUCCCUCGGGCCUCCUCCAACCCCUACACAUCCCCGGACAUCCCUGGUCCCACAUUCCCAUUGAUUUCAUCACCGGCUCACCUCAAUCUAAGGGCAUGACAACCAUUCUCACCAUAAUCGACCAUUUUUUGAAAGCCUGUCAUUUAGUUCCUCUUAGAAAAUUACCCACUGCUAAGGUUUCUCUGUCCUCAUGUUUCCAUCCACAGACAAAUGGUCAGACCGAACGCAUGACUCAGAAACUGGAAUCAACUUUCCGCUGCUUCAGACUCACAAACCCAUCUGACUGGAGCCAAUUCCUUCCCUGGGAUGAGUAUGUGCAUAAGAGUCAUGUAUCUGCCACCACUGGGUUGUCACUGUUUGAAAUUUCCAUAGGCUAUCAACCACCGCUUCUCUUCUCAGAAGAAAAAGACUUUGCUGUAACCUCACUACAACACCACAUCCGUUGCUGCAAAAAAAUCUGGAGUAACACUGUCCAUGCCCUCAACCGCACAGCUGAACAGAACAAUCGGCAAUCAGACCGCAGAAGGAUCCCUCCUCCCACCUACAUUUCGGGUCAGAAGGUUUGGUUGUCCUCACGUGACAUCCCGUUAAAUUACAUGUCCAAGAUACUGUCCCCUGGGUUUAUCAGUCCUUUUGAAAUUGAAUCUGUUAUCAGCCCAUCUGCAGUCUGCCUCCAUCUCCAAGCCUCUAUAUGCAUCCCAGCUUCCACGUUUCUCAAAUCAAGCCCAUCCUGACCAGUACUCUCUGCCCUCCUUCCGAGCACCCUCCUACCACCCAUGACGUGGAUGGCCAUCCGGCCUAUUCUGUUCGCCGCAUCGUGGACUCCCAUCGGCGAGGUUGUGGUUGGCAGUACCUCAUCGACUGGGAGGGCUAUGGUCCGGAGGAUAGUUCUUGGGUUGCUGGCUUGUUCAUUUUGGACCCGUCCCUUUUAACUGAUUACCAUCGCUCUCUCCAUUCUAGUUCCUCUCGGCCGCCAGGUGGCGACCGUUGAGGGGGGGUGCUGUUCGGAACCUGGGUUCUUUGCAGUUUUUUUCUUUUUUGGUUUCACUAUCCAUCCACCAGAUAGCACCAGAUGCUGCUCCUCCUGGCAGCGUGUGCCAGUCUCCUACGUUCCUGUUCUUCAUCUUCUCAUCAUCUCUGGAGUUUAAGAAGAGCUGACUGCCAGUUCUCGGACGCCUGAGUGUUUGCCAGCAAUGGUGAAAUCAUCAAGACGCAAAGUUUCCUCUGUGAGAAGUUUUUUCCUCUGGUUUCCUGGAACCUACCUCCUCAUGACGCCAUGAAAAUUACCCACUGGUUGCCCGAGGUCCUUCCCUGUUUCUUCAGUUGGACCAAGCCAUUUUCUGAGAACCCUGACAGGCAGUCGGACCGCUCCUCUGUCUCCAACCGCCAGAACUUACCUGUCCGCCCUCCACUGCAGCCUCUUCCACUCCUUCCGGAUAAACUUAUCCGAGCGAACUUAGAAGAAGACCCCUCUGUCAAAUCUGAACCCAACCCAGCAUGAUUCCCUCUCAGGCCAGAACCGCCAGCUCCACAAUGUGCCGCCUACUCCAAGAGCCGUUCCCUGGAAACUGUUUCCC
Long non-coding RNA from Gambusia affinis (western mosquitofish), 2312 nucleotides. RefSeq lists it as uncharacterized. The record is from RefSeq and is a predicted model, not a curated record. The transcript is spliced from 3 exons. NCBI's taxonomy places the organism in Eukaryota, Metazoa, Chordata, Actinopteri, Cyprinodontiformes, Poeciliidae.